CCUUUGUUUACCUACCUCUGUUGCUUUGGCGGUGCCGCCCCCGGGCGCCCGCCAGAGGACUUCAAAACUCCAGUCAGUGAACGUCUCAGUCUGAAAAACAAGUUAAUAAACUAAAACUUUCAACAACGGAUCUCUUGGUUCUGGCAUCGAUGAAGAACGCAGCGAAAUGCGAUAAGUAAUGUGAAUUGCAGAAUUCAGUGAAUCAUCGAAUCUUUGAACGCACAUUGCGCCCCUUGGUAUUCCGGGGGGCAUGCCUGUUCGAGCGUCAUUUCAACCCUCAAGCUCUGCUUGGUAUUGGGCUCCGUCCUCCUCGGACGCGCCUCAAAGACCUCGGCGGUGGCGUCUUGCCUCAAGCGUAGUAGAAACACCUCGCUUUGGAGUGCAUGGCGUCGCCCGCCGGACGAAACCUUUUGUAUUCGGCGAGUGAAGCGGCAAUAGCUCAAAUUUGAAAGCUGGCCCCUUUGGGGUCCGCGUUGUAAUUUGUAGAGGAUGAUUCGGCGAGGGCUCCCGUCUAAGUCCCCUGGAACGGGGCGUCAUAGAGGGUGAGAAUCCCGUAUGUGAUGGGUUGCCUUAGCCAUGUGAAUCUCCUUCGACGAGUCGAGUUGUUUGGGAAUGCAGCUCUAAAUGGGAGGUAAAUUUCUUCUAAAGCUAAAUACCGGCCAGAGACCGAUAGCGCACAAGUAGAGUGAUCGAAAGAUGAAAAGCACUUUGGAAAGAGAGUUAAAAAGUACGUGAAAUUGUUGAAAGGGAAGCGCUUGCAGCCAGACUUGUCCGCAGUUGCUCAGCCGGUCUCCUGACCGGCGUACUCUUCUGCGGCCAGGCCAGCAUCAGUUCGGGCGGUCGGAUAAAGACCCUAGGAAUGUAGCUCCUCUCGGGGAGUGUUAUAGCCUGGGGUGGAAUGCGGCCAGCCUGGACUGAGGAUCUCGCUUCGGCUAGGAUGCUGGCGUAAUGGCUGUAAGCGGCCCGUCUUGAAACACGGACCAAGGAGUCUAACAUCUAUGCGAGUGUUUGGGUGUCAAACCCAUACGCGUAAUGAAAGUGAACGGAGGUGGGAACCCUCACGGGUGCACCAUCGACCGAUCCUGAUGUCUUCGGAUGGAUUUGAGUAAGAGCAUA
This 1116-nucleotide small RNA is filed under the name Botryosphaeriales sp. 18 MU-2012. Its description in RNAcentral is "eukaryotic LSU rRNA". The stretch from base 345 to 1116 matches the Rfam family "Eukaryotic large subunit ribosomal RNA", at positions 1 to 804 of the family's 3401-position model. The record is from RNAcentral. Lineage: Eukaryota; Fungi; Ascomycota; Dothideomycetes; Botryosphaeriales.